RNAcentral lists this ribosomal RNA (253 nucleotides) under uncultured bacterium. RNAcentral's name for it is "partial 16S ribosomal RNA". It matches the Rfam family "Bacterial small subunit ribosomal RNA", at positions 524 to 776 of the family's 1533-position model. The record is from RNAcentral.
UACGUAGGGUGCGAGCGUUGUCCGGAAUUACUGGGCGUAAAGAGCUCGUAGGUGGUUUGUCGCGUUGUUCGUGAAAACUCACAACUCAAUUGUGGGCGUGCGGGCGAUACGGGCAGACUGGAGUACUGCAGGGGAGACUGGAAUUCCUGGUGUAGCGGUGGAAUGCGCAGAUAUCAGGAGGAACACCGGUGGCGAAGGCGGCUCUCUGGACCGAGACUGACGCUGAGGCGCGAAAGCGUGGGGAGCAAACAGG